Molecule: long non-coding RNA, 532 nt
Organism: Piliocolobus tephrosceles (Ugandan red Colobus)
Lineage: Eukaryota; Metazoa; Chordata; Mammalia; Primates; Cercopithecidae
Exons: 2
Source: RefSeq, a predicted model, not a curated record
GCAGUUGGAGCAGAGGGUUUAUGGUGACUUAAAGCUCAUUUUUAAAAACAUCUCUUCAAUUUUUCUCGGCUUACAACUGUAACUCCAAUACUUUGGGAGGUGAGGUAAGAGGCUCACUUGAGCCCAGGAGUUUGAGACCAGCCUGGGAAACAUGCUGAUACCUCGUCUCUAGAUAAUUUGUUUUUAAAACUAGCCAAAUGUGGUGUGCAUACCUGAAGUUCCAGCUACUCAGGAGGCCAAGGGAGUAGGAUUGCUUGAGUCCAGGAGUUCAAAGCGACAGUGAGCCAUGAUUGUGCCACCGCACUCCAGCCUGGUAACAGAGCAAGGAUGCUGUCUUCCUCUGCUCCGCUCUGCUCUGCUGAUCGAGUUCUCACUGGGAGGCUGACGCUUGCACCUCCCUGCCCUGUGUGAUCAUUCUGCAGCCCCAGGUCCUCUCCGUCCCCUGGCCCAGGAGAUUUUACCUUCCAAUCAUGCCCUUACUAUUUGCUUGGAAUCAAAGUGUACCUUAUUUCAUAAAAUGAUAAUAACAGCA